AAAGGUAAGCUACUAAGAGCGAAUGGUGGAUGCCUUGACUGGUAAAGGCGAUGAAGGACGUACUAGACUGCGAUAAGCUACGGGGAGCUGUCAAGAAGCUUUGAUCCGUAGAUUUCCGAAUGGGGCAACCCAAUGUAUAGAGAUAUACAUUACCUAUAUAGGAGCGAACGAGGGGAAUUGAAACAUCUUAGUACCCUCAGGAAAAGAAAUCAAUAGAGAUUGCGUCAGUAGCGGCGAGCGAAAGCGCAAGAGGGCAAACCCAGUGCUUGCACUGGGGGUUGUAGGACUGCAAUGUGCAAGAGGUAAGUUUAGCAGAACAUUCUGGAAAGUA
This 331-nucleotide ribosomal RNA is filed under the name Campylobacter jejuni. RNAcentral describes it as "partial 23S ribosomal RNA". It matches the Rfam family "Bacterial large subunit ribosomal RNA", at positions 1 to 351 of the family's 2925-position model. The record is from RNAcentral. Lineage: Bacteria; Pseudomonadati; Campylobacterota; Epsilonproteobacteria; Campylobacterales; Campylobacteraceae.